AUUGAACGCUGGCGGCAUGCCUAACACAUGCAAGUCGAACGGCAGCGCGGGGGCAACCCUGGCGGCGAGUGGCGGACGGGUGAGGAAUGCAUCGGAAUCUGCCUGGUUGUGGGGGAUAACGUAGGGAAACUUACGCUAAUACCGCAUACGACCUGAGGGUGAAAGUGGGGGACCGCAAGGCCUCACGCGAUCAGAGGAGCCGAUGUCGGAUUAGCUAGUUGGGGGGGUAAAGGCCCACCAAGGCGACGAUCCGUAGCUGGUCUGAGGGGACGACCAGCCACACUGGAACUGAGACACGGUCCAGACUCCUACGGGAGGCAGCAGUGAGGAAUUUUGCGCAAUGGACGAAAGUCUGACGCAGCGACGCCGCGUGUGGGAUGAAGGGGCUACGCCCUGUAAACCACUGUUAGAUGUGAAAAAAAGAUGGCUUUGCCGUCCGGGAUUGUAACAUCAAAGAAAGGACCGGCUAACUACGUGCCAGCAGCCGCGGUAAU
This 494-nucleotide ribosomal RNA is filed under the name uncultured bacterium. RNAcentral's name for it is "bacterial SSU rRNA". It matches the Rfam family "Bacterial small subunit ribosomal RNA", at positions 29 to 524 of the family's 1533-position model. The record is from RNAcentral.